CCGAGUCUUAAUUGGGCGUUAAGUUGCAGGGUAUAGACCCGAAACCCGGUGAUCUAGCCAUGGGCAGGUUGAAGGUUGGGUAACACUAACUGGAGGACCGAACCGACUAAUGUUGAAAAAUUAGCGGAUGAUCUGUGGCUGGGGGUGAAAGGCCAAUCAAACCGGGAGAUAGCUGGUUCUCCCCGAAAGCUAUUUAGGUAGCGCCUCGUGAAUUCAUCUCCGGGGGUAGAGCACUGUUUCGGCUAGGGGGCCAUCCCGGCUUACCAACCCGAUGCAAACUGCGAAUACCGGAGAAUGUUAUCACGGGAGACACACGGCGGGUGCUAACGUCCGUCGUGAAGAGGGAAACAACCCAGACCGCCAGCUAAGGUCCCAAAGUCAUGGUUAAGUGGGAAACGAUGUGGGAAGGCCCAGACAGCCAGGAUGUUGGCUUAGAAGCAGCCAUCAUUUAAAGAAAGCGUAAUAGCUCACUGGUCGAGUCGGCCUGCGCGGAAGAUGUAACGGGGCUAAACCAUGCACCGAAGCUGCGGCAGCGAACGUAUCACCCAAGACAACUUUACGGAGUUGACGAUUGACGGAGCGAAGCGACGUCAAAGCGUUCAUUAAAGUCGAGUUGGCUUAGGGAUACGUUCGUUGGGUAGGGGAGCGUUCUGUAAGCCUGUGAAGGUGUGUCGUGAGGCAUGCUGGAGGUAUCAGAAGUGCGAAUGCUGACAUAAGUAACGAUAAAGCGGGUGAAAAGCCCGCUCGCCGGAAGACCAAGGGUUCCUGUCCAACGUUAAUCGGGGCAGGGUGAGUCGACCCCUAAGGCGAGGCCGAAAGGCGUAGUCGAUGGGAAACGGGUUAAUAUUCCCGUACUUGGUGUUACUGCGAAGGGGGGACGGAGAAGGCUAUGUUGGCCGGGCGACGGUUGUCCCGGUUUAAGCGUGUAGGUGUGUGUUCCAGGUAAAUCCGGUUCACUUUAACACUGAGGCGUGACGACGAGGCACUACGGUGCUGAAGCAACAAAUGCCCUGCUUCCAGGAAAA
RNAcentral lists this ribosomal RNA (1025 nucleotides) under Salmonella enterica subsp. enterica serovar Typhimurium. Its description in RNAcentral is "partial 23S ribosomal RNA". It matches the Rfam family "Bacterial large subunit ribosomal RNA", at positions 677 to 1616 of the family's 2925-position model. Lineage: Bacteria; Pseudomonadati; Pseudomonadota; Gammaproteobacteria; Enterobacterales; Enterobacteriaceae. The record is from RNAcentral.